UCUACUUCUUCUUUUUCGUCGAAAACCAAGUCUCCCGUGGUUUGACGUUUCAUUUCUGCUAUAAGAGUGAAAAGAACAAAACCAGUAUUUUGAGAAAAUUUGUUUUCGAAAUUCUCCUACUCACUCUUACACAACAUUCUGUGAUUUGUGCGGUGCUGUCAACUUCGCAAAAACUUGACCUCCAAUUCAGUCGCGAUUUGUGUGUGCAAAUCGUGAAAAUAAAUCGAAAAACGACCAGCCAAUGAUGGAUUCGCGUGCAAAACUGUGCACGGCCAGUGAAUCUAAGAUCAGCGGAUUUAAACUGGCAUUUGGCUUAGCUGACGGUGAGCUCUUCAAAACAACAACAUCGUCGGCGUGUGCAUAGCUGCUUUCGUUGCUUCUUCCAAGCAUAUAUCAUCGAUAAUCUUGAAACAGACCCGGACGGUGAAUUCGGUGGGUUUAUGACGAAGAUGGUUUGUCAAAUUCAGCCGGUACGACCAUUGUACAAAGUGGUUACUUGAAGUGGAGGAUUCUGCAGACGCACCCCUUCAUUACAACAGUUAUUUCGACGGCGUACGCACAGCCAAUUUCGAUGAACCCUGGGACCGACGAUUCUUGGACGACGGGCUUCUUGGACGACGGAACGACGUUCUUCUUGGACGACGGGACGACGUUCUUCUUGGACGACGGGCUCCGACGCAACGGUGAAUUAGCGACCAAUGUCCAUCAGAAGUCCUAGCUGCUAGCUAAGACUUGCAGACGGUACGACCAAGGCGUGCACUGUGAAAUGGAUCCGUGCUUAAACUGAAGCAUGGCUUAACUGAUCCAGAACUGGCUGUUGGCCUUCGUUUUAUGCUGCUCAGGAUGAUACCAGUGGAAGUCAUCGAACAGAUCGUGAAAACAGAGAAGACAGUUCCGAUUUCCUGGUGGAGAAGGAACUCUCCCAAAAUAAUCUUGUCUGAUUCGCUAGAGAUCUCGGAGUAGCAGCACAAAUGUCCUUCCGUCUGACUUUGUAACCCGAUCGAUUGCUUCAAUGGCAAUUGUUGUAUGUAUUAUUUCUUUUUAGAUUAAUAAAAAUACGUAAAGCUUCUGCUUCCCAAUUCUCA
Molecule: long non-coding RNA, 1085 nt
Organism: Armigeres subalbatus
Lineage: Eukaryota; Metazoa; Arthropoda; Insecta; Diptera; Culicidae
Exons: 3
Source: RefSeq, a predicted model, not a curated record